Long non-coding RNA from Tachysurus fulvidraco (yellow catfish), 438 nucleotides. RefSeq lists it as uncharacterized. The transcript is spliced from 3 exons. Lineage: Eukaryota; Metazoa; Chordata; Actinopteri; Siluriformes; Bagridae. The record is from RefSeq and is a predicted model, not a curated record.
GCUCCUGAAGGUCAAAUAGAAAGAAAGUAAUGUUAAUAAACCAUUAGAAACAUUCCUGUAACCUGAUUUUCUGCUAGAGAACAAUGCUAAUUGUUGACCAUGUAAAUAUAUUUGUCCUCAUGUGGAUAUGUUUUAAAAGGACAUCGUCAUCAUCAGACCCGGACACUUUACUGAGCUCUUUACGGUCCAUACUUCCACAGAAUAUGAGCAUUACUCUUAAUCCCAGUUAUCCCAGUAUGGAGAGUUAAAGUGGUUCCUUCCAGUUCCUGCAGUGUGACCGUCUCGUCUCCAGCUUCACACACUCCAGUGUGUUGUGUUUGCAGUAAAGGAGUAAACUUACAGCACAAUAGGAGGAGAACAGACCGGAGAAUCCACUUUCCUGCUAAAAUGGUCACCAUGUUUUUAGUCCACAGUAAGCGUUUCUCAGACAAAAUAUUU